Molecule: unclassified non-coding RNA, 306 nt
Filed under: uncultured Tricholoma
Lineage: Eukaryota; Fungi; Basidiomycota; Agaricomycetes; Agaricales; Tricholomataceae
Description: sequence contains ITS2
Rfam family: 5.8S ribosomal RNA (bases 1-52)
Source: RNAcentral
AACGCACCUUGCGCUCCUUGGUAUUCCGAGGAGCAUGCCUGUUUGAGUGUCAUGAAAUUCUCAACCUUUUCGGCUUUUCCUAAGUUGAUCAGGCUUGGAUGUGGGAGUUUGCGGGCUUCUUACGAAGUCGGCUCUCCUUAAAUUCAUUAGUAGGGACCUCUGUUGCCUUAGCUUUUGGUGUGAUAAUUAUCUACGCCAUCAUGUGAAGCAGCUUUAAAUUGGAGGUUACUGCUUUCUAACCGUCUCCUAUGGGACAUUUUCUGACAAUUUGACCUCAAAUCAGGUAGGACUACCCGCUGAACUUAA